RNAcentral lists this ribosomal RNA (454 nucleotides) under Procambridgea sp. CG295. Its description in RNAcentral is "partial 16S ribosomal RNA". Lineage: Eukaryota; Metazoa; Arthropoda; Arachnida; Araneae; Stiphidiidae. The record is from RNAcentral.
UUCUAAUAAAAUUAUUAUUAGUAAAAUCUGCUCCAUGAAAUUUUUUAAUAGCCGCAAUUAUAUUGUGCUAAGGUAGCAUAAUCAUUUGUCUUUUAAUUAAAGACUAGUAUAAAUGAUUUAACAUUUAAAUUUCUAUAUUUAUAAAUAUAUAUAUAUAUAUAUAAUAAAUUAUUUUAAAUAUAAAAAAAUAUUUAUAAAUUAAAAAGACGAUAAGACCCUAUUGAACUUUACUUAAGUUUAACUGGGGUAGUUAAUUAAUUAUCAUUUUAAUAAAAAUAAUAAUUUAAAAGAUCCAAAAUAUUUGAUUUCAUGAUUAAGUUACCAUAGGGAUAACAGCAUAAUUAUUUUUAAAAGAUCUUAUUAAAAAAAUAGAUUAUGACCUCGAUGUUGAAUAAUUUUCUAAUAAAAGCAAAAAUUUAAAUAAGAAAGUCUGUUCGACUUUUAAUUAAUUACA